Molecule: transfer RNA, 65 nt
Filed under: Lethocerus deyrollei
Lineage: Eukaryota; Metazoa; Arthropoda; Insecta; Hemiptera; Belostomatidae
Also listed under: 1 other name
Description: tRNA-Tyr
Source: RNAcentral
GAUAGGAUGGCUGAAGUAUUAGGCUGUAAAUUGUAAAUUUAUAUAUGGUUGUUUACCUCCUGUCA